This 3361-nucleotide long non-coding RNA is filed under the name Sus scrofa (pig). Its description in RNAcentral is "lncRNA (ENSSSCG00065077329.1)". The record is from RNAcentral. Lineage: Eukaryota; Metazoa; Chordata; Mammalia; Artiodactyla; Suidae.
UUUUUUUUUUUUUUUUUUUUUUUUUUUGUCUUUUUGUCUUUUGUCCUUUGUCUUUUGUUGUUGCUGUUGUUGCUAUUUCUUGGGCAGGUCCCGCGGCAUAUGGAGGUUCCCAGGCUAGGGGUGGAAUUGGAGCUACAGCUGCCAGCUUACACCACAACCCCAGUAACACAGGAGCCAAGCCAUGUCUUUGACCUAUACACAGCUCACGGCAACGCCAGAUCCUUAACCCACUGAGCGAGGCCAGGGAUACGUCCUCAUGGAUACUAGUCAGUCUUGUUACCUCUGAACCACAAUGGGAACCUCAUAGGAAACUAUUUUUACAAAAAAUGUCAAACAAAUGUCCAGCAUCAUUAGUAAUGAAAAGUGCAAAUUUAAACACACUCUUAGCCUAUCAUAUUUGUGAUUAUAGAAAAAAAUGAGACAUGAAUAAAGGAAUUAGAGUGAGCAUAAUUUUCGAUACUGGGUGGUGAUAGUAAUUGAUUUAAGGUUUGAAAUACUGGUAGAAGGAGAAGCCCUGGAAAUAAAUGUGCUCACUCACAAAGAGUGUAGGUAAAGACCCAAUAAUCCUAUCGGCUCAGAGGAUAAUUAAUAUGAGAUCCAUAGGACAAAAAUGUAUUCAAGGAAAGUUUAGUAUCAUUGUGCGUAGAAGGUUUUUCCGAGGAGAAGUUAAAGAAUUUAGAGCAGAGCUCUAAAGUCCACAGAAGGGGCAGAGACAUUUUGGUGAGUAUUUCUAAGCAUAGGUGUUCAAAGACAGAAAAAAAAGUGCCCACUGAACUGAAAAUCAGCCUGAGAUGGAAAAAAAAGGCAGGUGGCUUCAUACAACCAAUGGAUCAGUUUAUUAGAGGAUGUUACUUACAGGUGGGAUUCGGUUGACAGGGAACAGAAUAGCUGUAUUCCACACCCCUAAACGGCCAUUGGGACCAUUUUAUUUUAUUUUUGUCUUUUGUCUUUUUAGGGCUGCACUCGUGGCAUAUGGAAGUCCCCAGGCUAGGGGUCAAAUUGGAGCUACAGCUGUCAGCCUACCCCAUAGCCACAGCAACACCAGAUCGGAGCUGCAUCUGCAACCUAUACCACGGCUCACGUCAACGCCGGAUCCUUAACCCACUGAGUGAGGCCAGGGAAUUGAACUCGUCACCUCAUGGUUCUUAGCCAGAUUCAUUUCCACUGCACCUCGAUGGGAACUCCACUGGAACUUUUUAUAAUUAACCUAGAUUAUGGGGGGGGGUAUACGCUUGGAAAUAGGAAGUGCACUCUUAAGAUUUAUGAAUGGGUAACCAGUUUCGUGGGCAUUGGAAUGUGUCAGAGAAGGUUUUCACGAUUGUUUGGGAACCAAGAGAGCAUAGAGGCUACCUGGUCCUAAUGAUUAUUAAACAAUAUCUAUUAAUUACAAAGCCCUUGAUGACAGAGGAGUGAUUCACUAUAUAGUGCAGUCCUGGGGAGGGUCAGUGAAAGGACAGGAGAAACUGUGAGGGUCCAAGAUGGCCUCAGUUAUGCUAACAGCCAUACAGUAGGGUAAGGAAAUGUGGAUGUUUAGACUAGUGGGGAGAAGCUUGGAAGGCAUCAUAACAGUAAUGGGGUUAAUUGUGAGUUAAAGUAUGCAAUGACCAAUUACCUUCCAUAUCUAUCAAUGAGUGACAGAAAAAGAUGGGGGGGGGAACUAGCUCUGGCUUCGGGGAUUAAAAUGUAACCUAGGCCAAAAGGGGAAAUAAAAGUAAACCUCAACUAACCUUCCCAAAUUGCAAAUGCCGUGAGGGAGAACUGUAGUGGAUAUUGUACUUACUGGAGAAAGUCCAUGCCAUUGACCAGGAGAGAACUCUAUACCACUUGGAAAGCAGUUUCUGGGGUCCCGUUGGGCCCUGAUAGAGAAGGCGCAUCUGACCAGGAGACAGCAGUUGUCCGCACAACCAGGACCAUCCCUCACGAACUAUUUUUCCAAACUGUAAGGUUGGAUGGACCCAGCUGCAGUUUAUCAUAAGAUGAAAGUGGUACACUGGGGUAGGGCCAGACAGUGCAAUGGCUCAGAUCCCAUUCCUCUGGUGCCUCUCAGCACCAGCGGUGCACGGGGUCGCUUACGGCAUCUGAGGAAGGGAAAAAAAGAUUGUGCUUGGCUCAUAUGUGUCCGCUGAAUAUGCCAGUGGAUUUAAUAACUUAACAAGCCAAAGGACCAUGGCUACACCUGAACGCCACUCAGCUGUGUUGUUGAAAGAGAGCAAUGUGGAAGCCCUCCCAAUGGGACAAUCUCUUAGAAGUAAAGCUGGUUAUAUAUGUUUCCCAAGGUAUGACUGUUGCUUCUGUUGAAAACCCCACCUAGAAAAAAAGAAAAAAAAGUCUCACCCAUCAGCAGCAGAGACCACCACUGAGCCUCUGACAUGGCCCUAGGAAAACCAACCAGCCACUUGGCUACUUUGUGUCUCUUGCCCACUAAAAUCUUGAUCAAAGUCAAUACAUAUUCUUUUUUUUUUUCUUAGGGCUGCACCCGUGGCAUACGGAGAAUCCCAGGCUAGGGCUAGAAUUGGAGCUACAGCUGCCAGCCUACACCACAGCUACAGCCACACAAGAUCCGAGCCGCAUCUGCAACCUACACCCCAGCUCACGGCAACACCAGAUCCUUAACCCACUGAGUGAGGCCAGGGAUCGAACCCGAAACCUCACGGUUCCUAGUCAGAUUCGUUUCUGCUGCACCAUGAUGGGAACUCCCCAUAUUCUUAAUACAGGUUUGUUUUUCUUGAUGCGAGGCCUCAGCCAGCACCACCAUCUGAUACCUUAUAGGGUGUUUUGUAGAAGCAAAGGAUCAAAGCUGAGUCCUACUUUAAAGCAAAACGGGUAUGGGAGUUGGUACAUGGUCAUGGGAUCCAUUAGUUCUAUCUCACAUUUCAUCACCUAGAAGCCACUAACAUGGUAGAGCAGUAGAAUGGUCUUUAUAAGACCAGCCAAGAUCUCACUUUAGAGUUAAUACCCUUUAAGGAUGGAAUAUCAUUAUCCAGGGCAUUCUAAACCAGGGACCAUUGUAGAGCGCUGUUCCCUGUCCCCAGAAGGUAGAAUACAUGAGUCUAGGAAACUAAAGGAUGGAACUCGAGUGGCCCCUCUUAAUCACUCCCAGAGACCCUCGUGGGGAAUCUGUGCUUCCCAUACCUGUAGCUUUACUCUUCAGGUCUAGAAGGGGCCGCUUCCAUCAGGGGACACAGUAAGAAUCGCAUCAAACUUUAAGCUACGGCUGUGGCUGGCGCACUUCCAGUCCCACGUGCCAAGAGAACAGCAGGCAAAAAAGGAAACGCAGGGUAACUAGGGCUGCUCUAACUCAACGGGACAGGGAAGAACAUGUUUGAUCUUCAGGAGAUCCACGAGGGCCUCUUAGUGUUCC